UUUCCCCUGCGGGAUUUGUGCUUGGUAUCCGCUAUUUUAGAACCGAUAUUUUAAAAUAGGGGAUUAUCCCUUGCUGCGGUGUGCAUGCCUCCACCGUAUGGUUUGGAGGAAGCCUAAAGCAGCGAUAUGAUCACCCACCUGUAAAGGUCGGGUUCAUAAAUACCGAUGCCACACGGUUCAUGCGGGGGAUUU
RNAcentral lists this non-coding RNA (192 nucleotides) under bacterium. RNAcentral describes it as "6S RNA". It matches the Rfam family "6S / SsrS RNA". Rfam says of the family: E. coli 6S RNA was the first non coding RNA to be sequenced, but its function was unknown until recently. It consists of 184 nucleotides that fold into an extended hairpin structure with a large single-stranded internal bulge. RNAcentral also lists the same sequence under 1 other name. The record is from RNAcentral.